Molecule: ribosomal RNA, 346 nt
Filed under: Tylocephalus auriculatus
Lineage: Eukaryota; Metazoa; Nematoda; Chromadorea; Plectida; Plectidae
Description: SSU rRNA
Rfam family: Eukaryotic small subunit ribosomal RNA
Source: RNAcentral
AAGGUGUAUAUCGCCAUUGCUGCGGUUAAAAAGCUCGUAGUUGGAUCUGCGCCUUCGGACUCGGUCCGCCCAACGGGUGUGAACUGGGAUCCAAGGCUUAUACUGCUGGUUUUCCCGCGAUGCUCUUCAUUGGGUGUCGCGGGUGGCUAGCGAGUUUACUUUGAAAAAAUUAGAGUGCUCAAAACAGGCUAACGCCUGCAUACUCGUGCAUGGAAUAAUAGAAUAGGACCACGGCUCUAUUUUAUUGGUUUUCGGAACUGUGGUAAUGGUUAAGAGGGACAGACGGGGGCAUUCGUAUCGCUGCGUGAGAGGUGAAAUUCUUGGACCGCAGCGAGACGCCCUACUG